This is a long non-coding RNA of Syzygium oleosum, 549 nucleotides long. RefSeq lists it as uncharacterized. The record is from RefSeq and is a predicted model, not a curated record. The transcript is spliced from 2 exons. Lineage: Eukaryota; Viridiplantae; Streptophyta; Magnoliopsida; Myrtales; Myrtaceae.
UCUAGAGAGAGAAAAUAGGCAGAGAGAGAGAGGGUGCUCCUUCCCCAAUCCCCUGCAAACCCUAGCAUUGCCUACAAAGAUUGGUGACAUCUCUCUCGUUUCUCGCCAUUUCUUGAUAGGUGUUGUGAUUUGGCCACUGGUCGUGCGACGCUGAGCAAAAAGAGAUACAUUUCAAUUCGAUGAGGAAAUUGCAAACGAAGAGAGAUCUUGUAAGAGGGGCCGGAGAUAGAGAGAGAGUCACCUCAUCCGAUGGGGCUGCAAUGGCAAGUGGUGGUGACAGAGACCGACGAAGUUCGAUGGCGAAAGUUGGUGAGGUGCGACGGAAGCACUGUGCAGGAGGAUUCAGGAGAGUGAGCGACAGCAAUCAACAGCGACCGAGUGACGGCGAUGGUGAGGGAGGACUCUCGGAGGGAGAGGCGCGUUGGUGACUGAGGGUUGAACACAACGGAAGGAAGGGCGCCGUUUUUUGUUGACCCAUGAAACGAUGUCGUUUUGGGACUAUUGGUGCCACGUUGAAUGAAGUGGUGUUGUUUUGCAAGUCCAUGCGGA